Molecule: transfer-messenger RNA, 369 nt
Filed under: Patescibacteria group
Lineage: Bacteria
Also listed under: 1 other name
Description: UBA10110 sp003524745 Standard tmRNA
Rfam family: transfer-messenger RNA
About the family: Bacterial tmRNA, also known as 10Sa RNA or SsrA, is named for its dual tRNA and mRNA-like properties. Its role is to liberate the mRNA from a stalled ribosome.
Source: RNAcentral
GGGGCUGUAUAGCUUCGACAGUGAAUCUUGAUUUCUAGGGGUAGCAUGUCGUUUGCGCUGGCCAACGUUAAAAGCUGGCAAACUACAAAUGCCAAAAACGCAUUUAGCAAACCAUUAGUGUUUGCGCCAGUAUUUGCCUAAUUGCGAAUACCGCUUCUGAUUACUUUGCUCAAGUGUAAUCAAGAGGCGUCAUAAAGUUGAGCUGCUGUGUUAGUGGUUACGGCUAACGCUUAAGAUUAAUGUGACUUAAUUUGCCAUUGCCUUUGUUGGCUUAUGAGUGGCGGAUGAAAACUAAUAAACCGACUAAACAUGUAGCGACUCUUGGAAAUUAUUCUCUGGACGGGGGUGCAAAUCCCCCCAGCUCCACCA